CCUUAUUAGUAGGCAGCCUCAGCUUUACACGGAGAGAUGAUACGUAUAAGACCCGGGGUUAUCGAAAAAACAUCUUUUAGACUUUCGAAAAGUCCUCUUUCUAACUAUUGACACAGGUUUUAUAUGUUUGGCCUGGACUUUUUUUUUCGUGGGUCUUCAUAUUGCAACCCUGUGCACCCGAGUGUAAAAAGGUCAACUACUCCGUGGUCCAUUUUAAACCGUCAACCUUGCACGACCGUAAAAAGUAAUAUAUAGAUAUAUAGAUAUAUAUGUCCAGCUAUCGUGCAGUCAAAUGCUACACUCCCAAUAUAAAACCAAAAAUAAAAAAAGGUGGCCUGUGCGCAGACUUUCUUUUUUAUGAAGAUUUGGGACUGUAGAGCCAGGGCUGAUGUUUCCUGGAUCGCCAUCUGGGCUUGGCUGCACAAAGGCACCAUUGAGACCAAACGUUAAAGGCUGUGGUCACUACAUAGAGGGCAUUCCAAGGGAGUUCUCUAUCGUCCAAAUUUGGUUUUGCCCUAUGCCCUCUAAGCCAAUACGUGUCUUUCCAUAUUCUAUCCCCUGCGCUUUUUAGUAGCUUUCGAAAUCCAAUAUUAAUAAAUGAAACUGUUAAUGAAGUAUGUAGUAACACUUCUGUUAUUGCUUGAGUCAUAUUUGAUCCGAAACACAGCAGCGUUGUAAAGUUGUUGGGGCGAUUUGGAGAAAGCUGUUGAAUAUCAGUUUCAGAUCUUUAUGCUGCUAUGGUUACUCACUGAAUAGUCUCGGUGAAUAUAUGGUGUAAUUAUUACAGAGGGCUCAUUAAAUGACCUGCAGGGAGGGAACUUGCGGCAAGGUGUGUGUGUGUGUGUGUGUUAAUAUCAUGUAUUUUUAUUAAAAAUAUAUAUACAUAAUUAGAGUAUGUGUUAUGUGUUAGACUAUGGAAAGUAAUAGGAUGAUACUGACCCAAUAUUCUUACACAUAAUGAGUUCAGAUUAGCCUUAUAUGCCUAAAUAAUGUUAACCAUAUUAUUGGCCAGUAAUUUAAAAGGAUUAUUGUCUAUAGUUAGAAGACACAGGCGCACACACACACACACACACACACACACACACACACACACACACACACACACACACACACACACACACACACACACACACACACACACACACACACACACACACACACAGACUUGCUGAUACAGGCAAGGCAAAAAGCCAAAACAAACUCAGUGUAAAAUAACAUAGUGGCCCAUUGUUCUUCGAGUUGUCUCAUCUACAUGGAGGCCUAACAAUCAACAUCAAUUGCAUGUCUUUUACCUCCUGUAUUUUAAAUUUGGUUAUAGAACCUGAACAAUGUGUACAUCUGCAAAAAAUGACACACAAAACACACAAAUGUGGAAAAAUUUGAAUCAUAAAACCGUAACACUUUGCUGGCCGUACGGUUGCCCAUUGCGUCUCUGUUCAAUGUGUCAUUGUCCUUUCAAACCUGAAAGUACAGAGAAGGGCACUUUAAUCUGAGUUCUGGUCUCGGCAGAACUCAGAUUCGAUUUUAUAAACGAAGAUUUUGUGCGUCCAAUCGAGAGGAAGUAGUAGGCAAACCCCAGUCGAUGGCCCUCAACCCGCGUAUGGAUAAAGGCUGUGGGUCAUGAGCCUGUUUCUUGUAUUCUUUCAAACCUACAAUGAGACCCUGUAAAACUGUGUAGUUUCUGUGUUUGAAGCCCCGCCCACUUCAGAGUAGACAAAAGCAUGCCAGUGCCAUUACAGCAGACAGAGUACUGCAAUAUGAGCCCUUCUUGAAGUCUGAGGCUGGGGUCUCUGAGUUCGGCCCUCUUAUCACCUUGCACUUUAAUAGGCCAACCUCAGCGAGAGAGAGAAGAAAAAUAAGAAGAAAAGGAGAGAGGAUGUGAAAAAGCGAAAAAUAUAGAUGGAUGACCCGAACCCAUUCACCCCCCACACCCACUCACUCACAACCCCCCCCCCCCCCCCCCCACACACACACACACACACACACACACACACACACACACACACACACACACACACACACACACACACACACACACACACACACACACACACACACACACACACACACACACAAACAAACACA
Molecule: long non-coding RNA, 2085 nt
Organism: Gadus macrocephalus (Pacific cod)
Lineage: Eukaryota; Metazoa; Chordata; Actinopteri; Gadiformes; Gadidae
Exons: 2
Source: RefSeq, a predicted model, not a curated record